RNAcentral lists this ribosomal RNA (428 nucleotides) under uncultured bacterium. Its description in RNAcentral is "partial 16S ribosomal RNA". It matches the Rfam family "Bacterial small subunit ribosomal RNA", at positions 354 to 796 of the family's 1533-position model. The record is from RNAcentral.
GUGGGGAAUAUUGGGCAAUGGGCGAAAGCCUGACCCAGCAACGCCGCGUGAAGGAAGAAGGCCCUCGGGUUGCAAACUUCUUUUAAGAGGGACGAAAGAAAUGACGGUACCUCUUGAAUAAGCCACGGCUAACUACGUGCCAGCAGCCGCGGUAAUACGUAGGUGGCGAGCGUUAUCCGGAUUUACUGGGUGUAAAGGGCGUGUAGGCGGGAGUGCAAGUCAGAUGUGAAAAUUAUGGGCUCAACCCCUAACCUGCAUUUGAAACUGUUCUUCUUGAGUGAUGGAGAGGCAGGCGGAAUUCCGUGUGUAGCGGUGAAAUGCGUAGAUAUACGGAGGAACACCAGUGGCGAAGGCGGCCUGCUGGACAUUAACUGACGCUGAGGCGCGAAAGCGUGGGGAGCAAACAGGAUUAGAAACCCUAGUAGUCC